CGUGUAGCUCAGCUGGAUAGAGCGUCUGGCUACGGACCAGAAGGCCGCGGGUUCGAAUCCUGUCACAC
This 68-nucleotide transfer RNA is filed under the name bovine gut metagenome. It matches the Rfam family "tRNA", at positions 5 to 66 of the family's 71-position model. From Rfam's summary of the family: Transfer RNA (tRNA) molecules are approximately 80 nucleotides in length. Their secondary structure includes four short double-helical elements and three loops (D, anti-codon, and T loops). The record is from RNAcentral.